GCGAGCGUUAAUCGGAAUUACUAGGCGUAAAGCGUGCGCAGGCGGCUUUGCAAGACAGAGGUGAAAUCCCCGGGCUCAACCUGGGAACUGCCUUUGUGACUGCAAGGCUAGAGUACGGCAGAGGGGGAUGGAAUUCCGCGUGUAGCAGUGAAAUGCGUAGAUAUGCGGAGGAACACCGAUGGCGAAGGCAAUCCCCUGGGCCUGUACUGACGCUCAUGCACGAAAGCGUGGGGAGCAAACAGGAUUAGAUACCCUGGUAGUCAAGGGCG
RNAcentral lists this ribosomal RNA (269 nucleotides) under uncultured Burkholderiales bacterium. Its description in RNAcentral is "partial 16S ribosomal RNA". It matches the Rfam family "Bacterial small subunit ribosomal RNA", at positions 534 to 802 of the family's 1533-position model. Lineage: Bacteria; Pseudomonadati; Pseudomonadota; Betaproteobacteria; Burkholderiales. The record is from RNAcentral.